Molecule: ribosomal RNA, 445 nt
Filed under: uncultured bacterium
Lineage: Bacteria
Description: partial 16S ribosomal RNA
Rfam family: Bacterial small subunit ribosomal RNA
Source: RNAcentral
CCUACGGGUGGCAGCAGUGGGGAAUAUUGCGCAAUGGGCGAAACCCUGAUGGUGCGACGCCGCGUGGGGGAAUGAAGGUCUUCGGAUUGUAAACCCCUGUCAUGUGGGAGCAAAUUAAGAGAGAGUACCACAAGAGGAAGAGACGGCAAACUCUGUGCCAGCAGCCGCGGCAAUACAGAGGUGUCAAGCGUUGUUCGGAAUCACGGGGCGUAAAGCGUGCUUAGGCGGUUUCGUAAGUGGUGUGUGAAAGGCCGGGGCUCAACCCGAGAACGGAACAUGAUAGUGCGGGACUGGAGUGAUGGAGGGGGAACCGGAAUUCCCGGUGUAGCAGUGAAAUGCGUAGAUAUCGGGAGGAACACUCGUGGCGAAGGCGGGUUCCUGGACAUUAACUGACGCUGAGGCACGAAGGCCAGGGGAGCGAAAGGGAUUAGAUACCCUAGUAGUC